This 812-nucleotide long non-coding RNA is filed under the name Eucalyptus grandis. RNAcentral describes it as "long non-coding RNA (EGRA_LNC002284)". The record is from RNAcentral. Lineage: Eukaryota; Viridiplantae; Streptophyta; Magnoliopsida; Myrtales; Myrtaceae.
UCUGACUUGAGCAGAGAAUUUUGCAUGGGCAAGUCGGUGAUAUGCGCCUACAUAUGGGCUUAGCGGACAUCCGGUCUUACUUAGAAACUAGCAAAACUCUCCUCCUUCCUUUAUAUUACCCACCAAAUGAUAAAAGCCUUCGUGUUUUUCCUUGUGUCUCCCCUUGCUGUGAAAGUCCACCUUCGUUUACACACCCUCUCUUGUACCCUUGCCAAGAAAAAUCUCACGUACUCACCUAAAACUAUCACUAUUAGCUUCCGCAAAACCAUCAUACCUGAAUUUAGAGAUGAAAGGUUUGUUCUCGAGGUAAGUGUUGCUGAUAUUUUUGAAGUGUACUGUGCAUAUGUAUUGGCUCCCUGAGCACCACAGGGGCUUUUUAUGAUAUUCAUGGCAAUCGUCCCAUGUACUUGCCUCGUCGACUUGACCCAGGGAAGUUGGUGCCACAAGCAUUUCAUUCACUCUGCCUGAACCGCCAUCUCAAUGGAAGGGUUCACUAAAUGAGGUUUCCAUGCAGUUCAUUUCCAUUCUUUAGCGCUUUCUCCGUCCCUUCAGCUGAAUAUUAAAAUCCCAUCCAUUUCACCAUCAUUUUCCUAUCAUGGCUCUUUUACAACUAAAGGUCGAGUUUAGUAGUGAGUAUUUAGAUUUAAAUGUACAAGCCAUCUCCAAAAUUAGCUAGUGGCUAAGCUAACAAAAUUCACAUCACGUUUUAUUUUAUUUUUCCCAAAACAAUAUGUAGUUCAUGAGAAUUCCUCAAAAUAUUGGGUUAAAAGCCUUGAGAUAAAAAGCAACUAAUCUAUUAUAACAUUGUGGAG